UAUUAUGAAAAGAUAGUUUGAUAAGAUAAAGAUGAUUGGUUGGUUGAGGAGAGAGAAUAUGUGAUUUUAUUUAGGAAAAAAUAAAAGGAAGAUAAAGAAGGAGAUUUUGUGGGUUUUAAAUGAAGAGAGAGAGUGUGAAGAUUUUGGGGAAAGAUAAUAAAGAAAAAUAAAAAUAAAAGGAAUUAUUUUAAUUUAAAUAGGGUAUUGGAAUGUGAGCAUUUAAUGCUCCACCAUCUUCUUCACCAAGGAAGAGAAAAGAGGAAAAAAAAAAAGAGAAAACCCUAACCCUAACACUAAUCUUAAUCUGCCGCCAUCGUCGCCGCUCGACUCGUCGUAGCCGAUCCAUUCGCAGUCGCCCCACCUUCGUAAGCAGCACGUCAUCUCCAUCGUUCCCCAAACUGCCGCGUCUCCGUCAGCACCCCGCCGCAAGCCGUCAAUCGCUGGCUCGACGUCACAGUCGUCGCUCGGUGUCGUCAGCAAGCAUCUCCGUCGGUCAACGGGUCGCCUACCCAGCCGUGCACUUCCGACUCAUACGCACGUCCGAUCCACGCCUCCAGUCGCUCCGCGUCGCGAACCAACCCGACCCACGCCCCUUCUUCGUGAAUCGAACCAGUCGAGCCGCUCCUCCAGCCACGAGCCGUGUUUGCCUCCUAGCCGAGCCACCAAGCUUUUUGAGCCGCUUAGCAUGUUUUUUUUUUUUACCUUUUCUACCUAUUUUGGUAAGUUUUGUUUGGAUUUUGGUUAAUUCCCAACAAAUCUUAGUUUUUGGACCCUAAAUAAUUUAAUUUUGGAUUAAACUAAAUUAUUUUUCUUAAAGGACAGUUUGGACCAAGUGAAUUUGGAGCGUGGGAUUUCUCUAGCUAAAGGCUUAUUCGUUGCAACCUCGCCUCGGGUAAGUUAUUUCGAUUGAAAUCUUCGGUCCUUGGUCGUUUGAUGGUUAAGUUAUGUAAAUUCGUGUUUUCUAACUAUUUAGGACGUCACUGCUUGGAAAGCGUGAUUUUACUGUUAGAAUUCGUUCGAGCAAAUCUCCAGGCAAGAGAUUAUACUACUAGACCUUCGAAUUACAUUCAAGAGACUGCAUGUAUUAAUAUAUGGUUAUGUAUCAAUGGUAGCUAAGUGCACGACUCGAGGUUAUUGAGAGAGAGGCGGAUAUUUUGUAAAUGCGUCUACUGGUUGAUUUUAUGGUUAGCGCUGAUAGUAUGUUGAUGCUAUCGCCUACGUCUUAAUGACAUAGUUUUGUGGUUGAGGAUGACAUGAUAUGAUAUGUUAUGGUAUGAUAUGUUAUGGCAUGAUUUGUUGUAGUAUGACAUGUUAUGAUAUGAUAUGUUAUGAUGAUGAUAUGUUAUGUGCAUGCUAUGGAUAGGGUGUAUGUUAGCUUUACCUAUUAGAGUCGUAUCCACACGAGUGUCUUUCGGGAUCACCACUCUUUUAGACGACUGUGUAGUCCAACGGGAUCACCAGUUUGACAUUGACAUUGACACAGACAUGAUUUGAGAGAUCCGAUGGGAUCGCUCACACUUAUGACUGCCGUAGUCCGACGGGACCACCAGACUGACAUUGACAUUGACAUUGACAUAGACAUGAUUUGAGUGAUUCGACGGAAUCACUCACAGCCCGAUCAUCUUAGGUGUUCCUUUGGGUUCAUCAGAGACCAGCUUGUUUCAACGGGAUCACAGAUUGCACGUGUUUGGGAACGUACCAGUUCAGGGGCAGAGGCAGAGGUAAGAGCAAAGACAAGCUGGCGAAUGACCAGAAGUGACCGUGGCGAGCCAUAGGGAUACGUUUGCUUCCGCUUUAUGUCAUAGUUCGAAUUUUAGUAUUUGAAUUUUUAUUUUAUUCUUUAUUUGUUAUUUUACUUCUUUAAAAUUAGAUAGGGCCCGAAUUAGGAUUUUAUUUUUUUGACUUAUUUUUAAAUACAUUUGUUUAUAUUUUAAUGAGAAAUUCGAGGUUUUGUUUUA
Molecule: long non-coding RNA, 1958 nt
Organism: Cucumis melo (muskmelon)
Lineage: Eukaryota; Viridiplantae; Streptophyta; Magnoliopsida; Cucurbitales; Cucurbitaceae
Exons: 2
Source: RefSeq, a predicted model, not a curated record